CUGAAAACUGCAUCAGGAUGAUGUUGCCAAUAACUCUGCUGGUCAUGUUGGGUUUUCUGACUCAGGGGUCUUCUGCCAACAAAUUUCUGACUCAGACUGACAAAUCCAAGUCUGUCAGUCUUGGAGGGACGGUGACCAUCAGCGCCACAGGGAGUUCAGACAUUGGUGAUGAUCUCAGUUGGUACCUUCAGAAACCUGGACAAGCUCCCAAACUUCUUAUAUACAGAGUAGGCAGUCUCUUCUCAGGAACUCCGUCUCGAUUCAGUGGCAGUAGAUCUGGUUCUCGCUACACUCUGACCAUCAGUGGUGUUCAGGCUGAAGAUGUUGGAGAUUACUACUGUCUGGGCUUACAUAGUGGUGGAGUGUUCACACAGUGA
Scomber japonicus (chub mackerel) is the source of this 377-nucleotide non-coding RNA. Lineage: Eukaryota; Metazoa; Chordata; Actinopteri; Scombriformes; Scombridae. The record is from the annotation of a RefSeq genome assembly.